GCCAGGCGUGGUGGCAUGGGCCUAUAGUCUUAGAUACUCAGACGGCUGAGACGGGAGGAUGGUUGGUUCAAGACCAGGAGUUCCGGGCUAUAAUGUACUGCACUAUGCUGAUAGUGUAUCCAUACUAAGUUCAGCAUCAAUGUGGUGACCUCCUGGGAGCAGGGAACUACCAGGUUGCCUAAGGAGAGGGUGAGCUGGCUCAGGUCAGAAAUAGAAUAGGUCAAAACUCCCAUGCUAUCUGUAGUGGGAUUGUGCCUGUGAUAGCCACUGCACUCCAGCCAGGACAACAUAGCAACACACCAUCUCU
RNAcentral lists this signal recognition particle RNA (307 nucleotides) under Prolemur simus (greater bamboo lemur). RNAcentral describes it as "Metazoan signal recognition particle RNA (ENSPSMG00000000813.1)". It matches the Rfam family "Metazoan signal recognition particle RNA". Rfam says of the family: The signal recognition particle (SRP) is a universally conserved ribonucleoprotein. It is involved in the co-translational targeting of proteins to membranes. Lineage: Eukaryota; Metazoa; Chordata; Mammalia; Primates; Lemuridae. The record is from RNAcentral.